Molecule: ribosomal RNA, 301 nt
Filed under: uncultured bacterium
Lineage: Bacteria
Description: partial 16S ribosomal RNA
Rfam family: Bacterial small subunit ribosomal RNA
Source: RNAcentral
CAGUCGCCACGGGAAUACGGAGGGGGCUAGCGUUGUUCGGAAUUACUGGGCGUAAAGCGCACGUAGGCGGCUUUGUAAGUUAGAGGUGUAAGCCCGGAGCUCAACUCCAGAAUUGCCUUUAAGACUGCCGAGCUAGCAGGUGAGAGAGGUAAGUGGAAUUCCGAGUGUAGAGGUGAAAUUCGUAGAUAUUCGGAAGAACACCAGUGGCGAAGACGGCUUACUGGCUCAUACUGGACGCUGAGGUGCGAAAGCGUGGGGAGCAAACAGGAUUAGAUACCCCAGUAGUCCCUGUCUCUUAUAC